UGGGGGAUAUUGCACAAUGGGCGAAAGCCUGAUGCAGCGACGCCGCGUGGGGGAUGAAGGCCUUCGGGUUGUAAACUUCUUUUGCUCUGAACAAGGCAUGCUAAUGGGUGUGUUGAGUGUAGGGGUUGAUUAGCGCCGGCUAACUACGUGCCAGCAGCCGCGGUAAUACGUAGGGCGCGAGCGGUGUCCGGAAUUAUUGGGCGUAAAGGGCUUGUAGGUGGCUGGUUGCGUCUGUCGUGAAAGCUCAUGGCUUAACUGUGGGUUUGCGGUGGGUACGGGCUGGCUUGAGUGCAGUAGGGGAGGCUGGAAUUCCUGGUGUAGCGGUGGAAUGCGCAGAUAUCAGGAGGAAUACCGGUGGCGAAGGCGGGUCUCUGGGCUGUUACUGACACUGAGGAGCGAAAGCAUGGGGAGCGAACAGG
This 419-nucleotide ribosomal RNA is filed under the name bacterium. RNAcentral describes it as "partial 16S ribosomal RNA". It matches the Rfam family "Bacterial small subunit ribosomal RNA", at positions 355 to 776 of the family's 1533-position model. The record is from RNAcentral.